Rhopalosiphum padi (bird cherry-oat aphid) is the source of this 649-nucleotide long non-coding RNA. RefSeq lists it as uncharacterized. The transcript is spliced from 3 exons. NCBI's taxonomy places the organism in Eukaryota, Metazoa, Arthropoda, Insecta, Hemiptera, Aphididae. The record is from RefSeq and is a predicted model, not a curated record.
UAAUACUAAGAAUAACCAUUUAUAUACAGUAUUUUUAACAUUACUUUUUUAUAUAAUGACAAUUUGUAUUAACCACGUCGUCCAUUAUACAAAUAAACUUGGUGUAAGUAUUCUCUUAUGUGAAGCUAUGGACAAAUAAAACUACAGAUUUCUGCUACAGAAUCAAGACUAACAGGGAAAUGGGACACAUGGUUUCAUCUAACAACGAAAGAUGCACAAUUCCUUCGAGCUGGGACGGUAAUUUGAAUGGAUUACAAGAACUAAGAAGACGAUGGAUAUAUGUGCUGGUAAACAGCUGCCGACGACAACACCCAAAAUUCAGUCCGGGGGCCAGAGUGGCGAGCAGAACGCGUGUGCGGUCAAUGGGGACACGACUUACCGGUCUCGAAGAAUGAGCACUUGCGUGAUGCCAACAGGAUGGACGAUUGUAAAUAACAAUAAUAAUAAAUAAUAUUAUCGGGUAUCGCGUUCACUGACCGAAAUGUAAGCACGUUGGAUGAUUAAUGUUUGUACUUUGUCGUCGUCGUCGUAGUCGUGGACGGGCGGUGGCGGUGCAAACGACUGGCGAGAGGCGGCGGCGGAAGCUAUGUUAUUAUAAAUGCCAAGUCCGGACUAGGUAUACAGCGUUCGGCGAUAAUGCACUAGUAAA